This 340-nucleotide transfer RNA is filed under the name Calothrix sp. PCC 6303. RNAcentral's name for it is "tRNA-Und (NNN) (tRNA-Und-NNN-3-1)". The stretch from base 25 to 264 matches the Rfam family "Group I catalytic intron". From Rfam's summary of the family: Group I catalytic introns are large self-splicing ribozymes. Lineage: Bacteria; Bacillati; Cyanobacteriota; Cyanophyceae; Nostocales; Calotrichaceae. The record is from RNAcentral.
GGGGGUGUGGCGGAAUGGUAGACGCUGCGGACUUAAGAAAUUGAGCCUUGUUGGAGAAACCUGACAAGUGGAUGCUCUCAAAUUCAGGGAAACCUAAGUCUUUUAAAGAGAUAAGGCAAUCCUGAGCCAAGCCGAAACAAAUUGAGCACAAAGUUAGCUUUGCAUUCAAAACUGUUCGGAAGGUGCAGAGACUCGACGGGAGCUACCCUAACGUAAAGCCGAGGGUAAAGAGAGAGUCCAAUUCUUAAAGCCUCAAGUGUAAAGGUAGCAGCGAAAGCUGUAAAAGGAUGAAAAUCCGUUGACCUUAAAAGUCGUGAGGGUUCAAGUCCCUCCACCCCCA